UGGCGGACGGGUGAGUAACACGUAGGUGACCUGCCUUUUAGAGGGGAAUAACCAGAUGAAAAUUUGGCUAAUGCCGCAUACGAAGUACAAAUCUAAAAGUAGUACUUGAAAGGAUGCCUCUGUAUAUGCAUCCACUAAAAGAUGGGCCUGCGGAACAUUAGCUAGUUGGUGGGGUAAAGGCCUACCAAGGCAACGAUGUUUAUCCGGUCUGAGAGGAUGAUCGGACACACUGGAACUGAGACACGGUCCAGACUCCUACGGGAGGCAGCAGUGGGGAAUAUUGCGCAAUGGGGGUAACCCUGACGCAGCAACGCCGCGUGAGUGAGGAAGGACUUCGGUCUGUAAAGCUCUGUUAAUGUGGAAAAAUGGUAGCUGGUCUAAUAGGCCGGCUAUUUGAUGGUACACAUAGAGGAAGCACCGGCUAACUUCGUGCCAGCAGCCGCGGUAAU
Molecule: ribosomal RNA, 449 nt
Filed under: uncultured bacterium
Lineage: Bacteria
Description: bacterial SSU rRNA
Rfam family: Bacterial small subunit ribosomal RNA
Source: RNAcentral